RNAcentral lists this small RNA (87 nucleotides) under Arabidopsis thaliana (thale cress). Its description in RNAcentral is "ATSL300830". Lineage: Eukaryota; Viridiplantae; Streptophyta; Magnoliopsida; Brassicales; Brassicaceae. The record is from RNAcentral.
GGGCACUUCAUCCUGUCUCUGUCCCUUCGUCAGCUAAUCUUGGCUUAAGCCUUCAUGCGACAAGGUAAACUCUUUUUCUUACUUUUU